RNAcentral lists this unclassified non-coding RNA (19 nucleotides) under Mus musculus (house mouse). RNAcentral describes it as "oocyte_clustered_small_RNA8282". Lineage: Eukaryota; Metazoa; Chordata; Mammalia; Rodentia; Muridae. The record is from RNAcentral.
UGAUGGGAUAGGACUUCCU